GCGGAUGUGGCGGAACUGGCAGACGCGCUAGAUUAAGGAUCUAGUGGAAGAGAUUUCGUGCAGGUUCGAUUCCUGUCAUCCGCA
Molecule: transfer RNA, 84 nt
Filed under: Hathewaya proteolytica DSM 3090
Lineage: Bacteria; Bacillati; Bacillota; Clostridia; Eubacteriales; Clostridiaceae
Rfam family: tRNA
About the family: Transfer RNA (tRNA) molecules are approximately 80 nucleotides in length. Their secondary structure includes four short double-helical elements and three loops (D, anti-codon, and T loops). Further hydrogen bonds mediate the characteristic L-shaped molecular structure. tRNAs have two regions of fundamental functional importance: the anti-codon, which is responsible for specific mRNA codon recognition, and the 3' end, to which the tRNAs corresponding amino acid is attached (by aminoacyl-tRNA synthetases). tRNAs cope with the degeneracy of the genetic code in two manners: having more than one tRNA (with a specific anti-codon) for a particular amino acid; and 'wobble' base-pairing, i.e. permitting non-standard base-pairing at the 3rd anti-codon position.
Source: Rfam by way of RNAcentral